UACGGAGGGUGCGAACGUUAAUCGGAAUUACUGGGCGUAAAGCGCACGUAGGCGGUCCGUUAAGUGAGGUGUGAAAUCCCCGGGCUUAACCUGGGAAUGGCAUUUCAGACUGGCGGACUCGAGUACGGUAGAGGGGGGUGGAAUUUCCUGUGUAGCGGUGAAAUGCGUAGAUAUAGGAAGGAACACCAGUGGCGAAGGCGGCCCCCUGGACUGAUACUGACGCUGAGGUGCGAAAGCGUGGGGAGCAAACAGG
Molecule: ribosomal RNA, 253 nt
Filed under: uncultured bacterium
Lineage: Bacteria
Description: partial 16S ribosomal RNA
Rfam family: Bacterial small subunit ribosomal RNA
Source: RNAcentral